Oryctolagus cuniculus (rabbit) is the source of this 1536-nucleotide long non-coding RNA. RefSeq lists it as uncharacterized. Lineage: Eukaryota; Metazoa; Chordata; Mammalia; Lagomorpha; Leporidae. The record is from RefSeq and is a predicted model, not a curated record.
ACACAAAGAGGGAUUACCACAGGAAAUGCAAAGAGGCUUGGAAGAUGAGCGUGCGUUGAGAUAGAAGCCGGAAGCCCACUUAGCUAACAGCCUCCACGGGACCUGGCACAGACACGGGCAAAUGACAGUUAAACACUACAGAGCCCCCUUGUGAAAGGGAGAAUUUGGCAUUCAUUCCCUCAGCCCCGAGUGCCUGGGAAUUCUGCAAACCGUUGCCUGUGGCAGUGACACUGAUUUGUAUCUGGUAUGAACUUCAAUGAAAACAUGAAUUGAACUCAUUACUUGAGGAAGGAAACUGCCAAAUUUAACAGGAUGAAAUUCCAGCAGGGUGUAAGGUUUUAUGGGGCUGCAGUGGAAUACCUCAUAGGAAGGUUUCCAGUUCAUAAAACACUUUGAAAACAUGCUCAGCCCUUUUAAGUUGAGGGGACAUUAUCAUUUCUAUCUAAGGCAUUUCUCUGCAAAUUGAACUCAAAUAUCCUUUGGGCUGACUACGCAGAGAACAGAAGAAAGGAGUGCAAGAAACUUGGACUAAAGAUUACCUCCCUGAAAGGUUCUCUUCAGGAGGAUUUAGGUGACAUCGGAAAACAGCACGUCAGUGGACUGCAGCCAGCUCCAUAUGGCUUGCCUUGGUUUUCACAGGAGUUCUAGAGCUGUGGGAAGGAGAACAUAGAAGCAGCAGGCCAUAGAGCUGCUAAGAAAAGACUUCAAUCAGAGUGAAGUCUGCCGAAGCCCCUGGGUGGCCCUGGAGCUCAGUGUGGGGUUACAGCUUCCUGCUAACGCACCUGGGAAAGCAAAGGAUGAUGCGCCAAGCCCUUGGUACCAUGUCACCCACUGUCGCUCCCCGUCUUCGUGGAGGAACGACACAGGACCCUGCGCUGUUCUUCUGUCUGCUCGGCCCUCCCCGGGUUUGCUGCUGGUUCUUCCCGGGUUGGCUACUGGUCCUUCCCGGGUUGGCUGCUGGUCCUUCCCGGGUUGGCUACCAUCCCUUCCACCUCUGUGGAAGGGCGGUUCCCCCUGGCCACUUUCCCCACUUCCGCAGGGGAGCGGCACACCGCCGGCCAGCUCUCUCGGGGGCUGCACAGGUGUUCCCCUUAGAUGUUCCCCUUAGAUGUUCCUGGUGCAUGUUGUCUCUCUCCUCCUUUAUAGUCCUCUUCCACCAAUCCCAACUCUGCUACCCACACGCCGAGUACACUGCUCUCCUCCAAUCAGGAGCAGGUCCCACAGUUUAUUGGUUGAACUGGAGGCAGCUGUGUAGAAGCUGUUUCCCUUCUCAGUGCCAUAUUGUGGGAAAGCAGAUGCAUAGAAUAAGUCUUAAUUCCAGUAACUUAGUCUAGUCCGAGUUGCUCCCAGUUGCUCCCCACAACCCACGUGGGAGACCAGGAUGGAGUUCUUUGUGGCCAUUUGGGGAGUGAACCAGGAGAUGAAAGAUUCUCUCUCCCUCUCUCCAUAUCUCUUUCUUCCUGUCUGGCUUUCAAAUAAAGAAGUACAUAAAUAAAUCUUUAAAAUAAAAGAAUAAACUGAUUAUAUUAAUAUCAA